AAAACCUACGAAAACUUAAAAGUAACUAAAGAACCAAUCUUUUCACGUCUUUGCAAUCAGAUAAGCAUGGAUUGACGGAAAGAUUGCAACAAAAAAGUUUACCAAAUAAUAGAUCGAGCCUUGAGAGCUCGGAAGCAAUCACAAAACCAUUUUUCAUGUUUGUAAAUUCAGCAAAGCUGAAUGGGACCGCAUUCAUGGAAAAAUUGCAGUGAAAAGUAUGGUAAAACAAAAUUUGCAAUAAAAAAGUGGUGCUCUAGCAGGUCCAUUGCCGCCGUGGUGCUGGUCGUCCAUCAUUCCAUAGAAGAAUCAAAACCUACGAAAGCUUAAAAGUAACCAAAGAACCAAUCUUUGCAUGUCUUCGCAAUCAGAUAAGCAUGGAUUGACGGAAAACUUGCGAUAAAAAGGUAUACCAAAUAAUAGAUCGCAGUUCGGGGGGGGACAAAAUCAAAAGCCAACAGAGCUCAGAAGUAAUCAGAGAAACCCCUUUUUCUUUUUCAUAACUUGAUAAACAGAGGAGCCAAGUUUUCUUAGAUUAAUGGAAAAUUUACAACAAAAAGAUCGCGACAUAAUGAAUGACAGUUCUGAAGAAGAACCAAAACCUCCGAGAGUUAAAAGUCAAAUCAAAAACUUUUUUUUUAACCAUUUCUCGACAGUAAGAAGAGCCAAGGGCAUCAAAUUGAUGGAAUACUUCCAACAGAAAAGAUGACAACAUAAAAAAUGGCAACUGUGAAGAACAGUCAAAACUCAAGAGCUCAGAGGGAAUCAAGAAACCAAUUUUUCUAUGCCUCAACAAUCAUCGGAACAUCUGAUUGAUGGAAAAAUUGAAAGGAAAAAAAAAAGCAAAAUAUUAAAUUGCCCGUCUUAAGAAUGAAAACCCUUGAGAGUUCACAAGUAACCAAAAAAAAAAAAACACUUUGUUGCAUGCCUCAACGACCAGAGAAGACUAAUGGCAUCAGAACGACGGAAAAGUUUCUGCAAAAAUAUCGCAAAGACAACAAAUAGCAGCUAUGGAGAAGAAUCGAAAUCCUACACAACUCGGAACUAAUCAAAGGAAACAAGGGAACAAAAAAACAUGUCUUUCAUGCCUUAGGAUCGGAUAACUCGAAAGCAUCAGGAGGGGGAUUGCAACAAAAAAAUAUAGCAAGAUACUGUGGCAACAGCCAUCGAUAAAUCCAGCCAGAAUAACUCCGGAAAUCUAGGUCAUGCGCAAAAAAGAUAGAGAGCAAUUAUUUAUUCAUAAGAGAGUGAAACCAAGAUCAAACCCCUAAUCAGAAAGCCAGAAAAUUCAGCAAAAACAAGCUAAGUGGAAGAAAGAAAACGAUGCGGAUAAAGAAAACCUGGAAGGAAAGAACCGCAGGGAGAUCAAAAGGAGUGACUAAAAAAUAAUUCAAAAAAAAACAGGAGAGAGACAGAGAGUUAAUCCGAGGAAGAGGGGAAGAGAAGAAGAUUGGGAGGAGGCUCUCUCUCAUCGCUUCUUACUUGCUUUGGCUCGCUGCUGGGGUCUUCUCUUACGCUUCUCCGCUUGGCGGCUGGGCCUCUCCGGCCCUCGCCAUCCCCCCCGAUGGUGUGAGGAUAACCCUAAACUCACCGCAUCGCAGCGCAAACCUUAGACCUUAACACAAUUAAUCACUCCAUCAAAAAGACAAAAAAAACAACUAAUCAUGGCUAGAAGUGGGCGGCCUUCGGCUUGGGCGACCCUGUGCUCCGCCAAGCCUAGUUGAAUUGUC
This 1727-nucleotide long non-coding RNA is filed under the name Elaeis guineensis (African oil palm). Its description in RNAcentral is "long non-coding RNA (EGUI_LNC072360)". The record is from RNAcentral. Lineage: Eukaryota; Viridiplantae; Streptophyta; Magnoliopsida; Arecales; Arecaceae.